GAUGAACGCUGGCGGCGUGCCUAAUACAUGCAAGUCGAGCGAACGGACGAGAAGCUUGCUUCUCUGAUGUUAGCGGCGGACGGGUGAGUAACACGUGGAUAACCUACCUAUAAGACUGGGAUAACUUCGGGAAACCGUAGCUAAUACCGGAUAAUAUUUUGAACCGCAUGGUUCAAAAGUGAAAGACGGUCUUGCUGUCACUUAUAGAUGGAUCCGCGCUGCAUUAGCUAGUUGGUAAGGUAACGGCUUACCAAGGCAACGAUGCAUAGCCGACCUGAGAGGGUGAUCAGCCACACUGGAACUGAGACACGGUCCAGACUCCUACGGGAGGCAGCAGUAGGGAAUCUUGCGCAAUGGGCGAAAGCCUGACGGAGCAACGCCGCGUGAGUGAUGAAGGUCUUCGGAUCGUAAAACUCUGUUAGUAGGGAAGAACAGAAGUGUAAGUAACUGUGCACAUCUUGACGGUACCUAAUCAGAAAGCCACGGCUAACUACGUG
Molecule: ribosomal RNA, 497 nt
Filed under: uncultured bacterium
Lineage: Bacteria
Description: partial 16S ribosomal RNA
Rfam family: Bacterial small subunit ribosomal RNA
Source: RNAcentral